AUCGCAGUCUGCAACUCGACUGCGUGAAGUCGGAAUCGCUAGUAAUCGCGGAUCAGCAUGCCGCGGUGAAUACGUUCUCGGGCCUUGUACACACCGCCCGUCACACCAUGAGAGUCGGGAACACCCGAAGUCCGUAGCCUAACCGCAAGGGGGGCGCGGCCGAAGGUGGGUUCGAUAAUUGGGGUGAAGUCGUAACAAGGUAUC
RNAcentral lists this ribosomal RNA (204 nucleotides) under uncultured bacterium. RNAcentral describes it as "partial 16S ribosomal RNA". It matches the Rfam family "Bacterial small subunit ribosomal RNA", at positions 1297 to 1500 of the family's 1533-position model. The record is from RNAcentral.